Molecule: ribosomal RNA, 820 nt
Filed under: uncultured bacterium
Lineage: Bacteria
Description: bacterial SSU rRNA
Rfam family: Bacterial small subunit ribosomal RNA
Source: RNAcentral
GCUACCUGCAGUCGACGGUAGCACAGAGAGCUUGCUCUCGGGUGACGAGUGGCGGACGGGUGAGUAAUGUCUGGGAAACUGCCUGAUGGAGGGGGAUAACUACUGGAAACGGUAGCUAAUACCGCAUAACGUCNCAAGACCAAAGAGGGGGACCUUCNGGCCUCUUGCCAUCAGAUGUGCCCAGAUGGGAUUAGCUAGUAGGUGGGGUAACGGCUCACCUAGGCGACGAUCCCUAGCUGGUCUGAGAGGAUGACCAGCCACACUGGAACUGAGACACGGUCCAGACUCCUACGGGAGGCAGCAGUGGGGAAUAUUGCACAAUGAGCGCAAGCCUGAUGCAGCCAUGCCGCGUGUAUGAAGAAGGCCUUCGGGUUGUAAAGUACUUUCAGCGGGGAGGAAGGUGUUGUGGUUAAUAACCGCAGCAAUUGACGUUACCCGCAGAAGAAGCACCGGCUAACUCCGUGCCAGCAGCCGCGGUAAUACGGAGGGUGCAAGCGUUAAUCGGAAUUACUGGGCGUAAAGCGCACGCAGGCGGUCUGUCAAGUCGGAUGUGAAAUCCCCGGGCUCAACCUGGGAACUGCAUUCUAAACUGGCAGGCUAGAGUCUUGUAGAGGGGGGUAGAAUUCCAGGUGUAGCGGUGAAAUGCGUAGAGAUCUGGAGGAAUACCGGUGGCGAAGGCGGCCCCCUGGACAAAGACUGACGCUCAGGUGCGAAAGCGUGUGGAGCAAACAGGAUUAGAUACCCUGGUAGUCCACGCCGUAAACGAUGUCGACUUGGAGGUUGUGCCCUUGAGGCGUGGCUUCCGGAGCUAACGCGUUAA